RNAcentral lists this Y RNA (102 nucleotides) under Aotus nancymaae (Ma's night monkey). RNAcentral describes it as "Y RNA (ENSANAG00000004101.1)". It matches the Rfam family "Y RNA". Rfam says of the family: Y RNAs are components of the Ro ribonucleoprotein particle (Ro RNP), in association with Ro60 and La proteins. The Y RNAs and Ro60 and La proteins are well conserved, but the function of the Ro RNP is not known. Lineage: Eukaryota; Metazoa; Chordata; Mammalia; Primates; Aotidae. The record is from Rfam by way of RNAcentral.
GGCUGGUCCAAGUGCAGUGGUGUUUACAGCUAAUUGAUCACAACCAGUUACAGAUUUCUUUGUUCCUUCUCCACUCCCACUGCUUCACUUGACUGGCCUAUA